UAUGUAAUUGGUGCCAGCAGCCGCGUUACUACGGAGGAUCCGAGCGUUAUCCGGAUUUAUUGGGUUUAAAGGGAGCGUAGAUGGGUUGUUAAGUCAGUUGUGAAAGUUUGCGGCUCAACCGUAAAAUUGCAAUUGAUACUGGCAGUCUUGAGUACAGUUGAGGUAGGCGGAAUUCGUGGUGUAGCGGUGAAAUGCUUAGAUAUCACGAAGAACUCCGAUUGCGAAGGCAGCUUACUAACCUGUAACUGACAUUGAUGCUCGAAAGUGUGGGUAUCAAACAGG
RNAcentral lists this ribosomal RNA (282 nucleotides) under Phocaeicola massiliensis B84634 = Timone 84634 = DSM 17679 = JCM 13223. RNAcentral describes it as "partial 16S ribosomal RNA". It matches the Rfam family "Bacterial small subunit ribosomal RNA", at positions 495 to 776 of the family's 1533-position model. Lineage: Bacteria; Pseudomonadati; Bacteroidota; Bacteroidia; Bacteroidales; Bacteroidaceae. The record is from RNAcentral.